RNAcentral lists this ribosomal RNA (253 nucleotides) under uncultured bacterium. RNAcentral's name for it is "partial 16S ribosomal RNA". It matches the Rfam family "Bacterial small subunit ribosomal RNA", at positions 524 to 776 of the family's 1533-position model. The record is from RNAcentral.
GACGAACCUUGCAAACGUUAUUCGGAAUUACUGGGCUUAAAGGGUGCGUAGGCGGUGCAGAAAGUUGGGUGUGAAAUACCUCGGCUUAACCGAGGAAUUGCGCCCAAAACUACUGUGCUUGAGGAAGAUAGAGGUGAGCGGAACUUAGGGUGGAGCGGUGAAAUGCGUAGAUAUCGGGAGGAACACCUGUGGCGAAAGCGGCGCACUGGACCAUAACUGACGCUGAGGCGCGAAAGCUAGGGGAGCAAACAGG